ACGGUUGACCUCGGAUCAGGUAGGAAUACCCGCUGAACUUAAGCAUAUCAAUAAGCGGAG
RNAcentral lists this ribosomal RNA (60 nucleotides) under Verticillium dahliae. RNAcentral's name for it is "partial 28S ribosomal RNA". It matches the Rfam family "Eukaryotic large subunit ribosomal RNA", at positions 1 to 55 of the family's 3401-position model. Lineage: Eukaryota; Fungi; Ascomycota; Sordariomycetes; Glomerellales; Plectosphaerellaceae. The record is from RNAcentral.